CAAUAGCGUAUAUUAAAGUUGUUGCAGUUAAAAAGCUCGUAGUUGGAUUUCUGGACUGGUCGGCCGGUCCGCGACAUGUUCGUGUGUACCUGGUGUGAUUAGUCCAUCCUUGAUGGGAACUAUGGUCACCGUUAAUUCGGUGCUGUAGGGAACAUCAUCGUUUACUGUGAGAAAAAUAGAGUGUUUAAAGCAGGCGUUUGCUCUGAAUACGUUAGCAUGGAAUAAUAAGAUAGGACUUUGGUGCUAUUUUGUUGGUUUCGAGUACCGAAGUAAUGAUUAAUAGGGAUAGUCAGGGGCACUUGUAUUCCGUUGAGAGAGGUGAAAUUCUUAGACCAAUGGAAGACAAACUACUGCGAAAGCAUUUCCCAGGGAUGUUUUCACUGAUCAAGAACGAAAGUUAGGGGAUCGAAGACGAUCAGAUACCAU
This 426-nucleotide ribosomal RNA is filed under the name uncultured eukaryote. RNAcentral's name for it is "bacterial SSU rRNA". It matches the Rfam family "Eukaryotic small subunit ribosomal RNA", at positions 592 to 1018 of the family's 1831-position model. The record is from RNAcentral.